AUCUGUGUGACUGCGUACCUUUUGUAUAAUGGGUCAGCGACUUAUAUUCUGUAGCAAGGUUAACCGAAUAGGGGAGCCGAAGGGAAACCGAGUCUUAACCGGGCGUUAAGUUGCAGGGUAUAGACCCGAAACCCGGUGAUCUAGCCAUGGGCAGGUUGAAGGUUGGGUAACACUAACUGGAGGACCGAACCGACUAAUGUUGAAAAAUUAGCGGAUGACUUGUGGCUGGGGGUGAAAGGCCAAUCAAACCGGGAGAUAGCUGGUUCUCCCCGAAAGCUAUUUAGGUAGCGCCUCGUGAAUUCAUCUCCGGGGGUAGAGCACUGUUUCGGCAAGGGGGUCAUCCCGACUUACCAACCCGAUGCAAACUGCGAAUACCGGAGAAUGUUAUCACGGGAGACACACGGCGGGUGCUAACGUCCGUCGUGAAGAGGGAAACAACCCAGACCGCCAGCUAAGGUCCCAAAGUCAUGGUUAAGUGGGAAACGAUGUGGGAAGGCCCAGACAGCCAGGAUGUUGGCUUAGAAGCAGCCAUCAUUUAAAGAAAGCGUAAUAGCUCACUGGUCGAGUCGGCCUGCGCGGAAGAUGUAACGGGGCUAAACCAUGCACCGAAGCUGCGGCAGCGACACUGUGUGUUGUUGGGUAGGGGAGCGUUCUGUAAGCCUGUGAAGGUGUGCUGUGAGGCAUGCUGGAGGUAUCAGAAGUGCGAAUGCUGACAUAAGUAACGAUAAAGCGGGUGAAAAGCCCGCUCGCCGGAAGACCAAGGGUUCCUGUCCAACGUUAAUCGGGGCAGGGUGAGUCGACCCCUAAGGCGAGGCCGAAAGGCGUAGUCGAUGGGAAACAGGUUAAUAUUCCUGUACUUGGUGUUACUGCGAAGGGGGGACGGAGAAGGCUAUGUUGGCCGGGCGACGGUUGUCCCGGUUUAAGCGUGUAGGCUGGUUUUCCAGGCAAAUCCGGAAAAUCAAGGCUGAGGCGUGAUGACGAGGCACUACGGUGCUGAAGCAACAAAUGCCCUGCUUCCAGGAAAAGCCUCUAAGCAUCAGGUAACAUCAAAUCGUACCCCAAACCGACACAGGUGGUCAGGUAGAGAAUACCAAGGCGCUUGAGAGAACUCGGGUGAAGGAACUAGGCAAAAUGGUGCCGUAACUUCGGGAGAAGGCACGCUGAUAUGUAGGUGAAGUCCCUCGCGGAUGGAGCUGAAAUCAGUCGAAGAUACCAGCUGGCUGCAACUGUUUAUUAAAAACACAGCACUGUGCAAACACGAAAGUGGACGUAUACGGUGUGACGCCUGCCCGGUGCCGGAAGGUUAAUUGAUGGGGUCAGCGCAAGCGAAGCUCUUGAUCGAAGCCCCGGUAAACGGCGGCCGUAACUAUAACGGUCCUAAGGUAGCGAAAUUCCUUGUCGGGUAAGUUCCGACCUGCACGAAUGGCGUAAUGAUGGCCAGGCUGUCUCCACCCGAGACUCAGUGAAAUUGAACUCGCUGUGAAGAUGCAGUGUACCCGCGGCAAGACGGAAAGACCCCGUGAACCUUUACUAUAGCUUGACACUGAACAUUGAGCCUUGAUGUGUAGGAUAGGUGGGAGGCUUUGAAGUGUGGACGCCAGUCUGCAUGGAGCCGACCUUGAAAUACCACCCUUUAAUGUUUGAUGUUCUAACGUGGACCCGUGAUCCGGGUUGCGGACAGUGUCUGGUGGGUAGUUUGACUGGGGCGGUCUCCUCCUAAAGAGUAACGGAGGAGCACGAAGGUUGGCUAAUCCUGGUCGGACAUCAGGAGGUUAGUGCAAUGGCAUAAGCCAGCUUGACUGCGAGCGUGACGGCGCGAGCAGGUGCGAAAGCAGGUCAUAGUGAUCCGGUGGUUCUGAAUGGAAGGGCCAUCGCUCAACGGAUAAAAGGUACUCCGGGGAUAACAGGCUGAUACCGCCCAAGAGUUCAUAUCGACGGCGGUGUUUGGCACCUCGAUGUCGGCUCAUCACAUCCUGGGGCUGAAGUAGGUCCCAAGGGUAUGGCUGUUCGCCAUUUAAAGUGGUACGCGAGCUGGGUUUAGAACGUCGUGAGACAGUUCGGUCCCUAUCUGCCGUGGGCGCUGGAGAACUGAGGGGGGCUGCUCCUAGUACGAGAGGACCGGAGUGGACGCAUCACUGGUGUUCGGGUUGUCAUGCCAAUGGCACUGCCCGGUAGCUAAAUGCGGAAGAGAUAAGUGCUGAAAGCAUCUAAGCACGAAACUUGCCCCGAGAUGAGUUCUCCCUGACCCUUUAAGGGUCCUGAAGGAACGUUGAAGACGACGACGUUGAUAGGCCGGGUGUGUAAGCGCAGCGAUGCGUUGAGCUAACCGGUACUAAUGAACCGUGAGGCUUAACCUU
This 2357-nucleotide ribosomal RNA is filed under the name Escherichia coli O157:H7 str. EC4196. RNAcentral's name for it is "bacterial LSU rRNA". It matches the Rfam family "Bacterial large subunit ribosomal RNA", at positions 587 to 2925 of the family's 2925-position model. The record is from RNAcentral. Lineage: Bacteria; Pseudomonadati; Pseudomonadota; Gammaproteobacteria; Enterobacterales; Enterobacteriaceae.